GCCUCCAUAGUGUAGUGGUUAGCACGUCUGUUUUACAUGCAGAAGAUCCUGGGGUCACACCCCAGGUGGAGCCA
Molecule: transfer RNA, 74 nt
Filed under: Pteropus alecto (black flying fox)
Lineage: Eukaryota; Metazoa; Chordata; Mammalia; Chiroptera; Pteropodidae
Rfam family: tRNA
About the family: Transfer RNA (tRNA) molecules are approximately 80 nucleotides in length. Their secondary structure includes four short double-helical elements and three loops (D, anti-codon, and T loops). Further hydrogen bonds mediate the characteristic L-shaped molecular structure. tRNAs have two regions of fundamental functional importance: the anti-codon, which is responsible for specific mRNA codon recognition, and the 3' end, to which the tRNAs corresponding amino acid is attached (by aminoacyl-tRNA synthetases). tRNAs cope with the degeneracy of the genetic code in two manners: having more than one tRNA (with a specific anti-codon) for a particular amino acid; and 'wobble' base-pairing, i.e. permitting non-standard base-pairing at the 3rd anti-codon position.
Source: Rfam by way of RNAcentral